UGCAUCGGCCGGGAAUCGAACCCGGGCCGCCCGUGUGGCAGGCGAGCCUUCUACCACUGAACCACCCAUUC
This 71-nucleotide transfer RNA is filed under the name Cordylochernes scorpioides. Its description in RNAcentral is "tRNA-Gly". Lineage: Eukaryota; Metazoa; Arthropoda; Arachnida; Pseudoscorpiones; Chernetidae. The record is from RNAcentral.